GAAGGGUUAAAUGGAGUUUUUUAUCAUCAGAUUGUCAUAAUGGUCCUUAUGAGGGAGAGUGGCUGCCAUGACAUGCUAUUUCUCAUUACCUUUCUAGUGAACACUAUCACAAUCAAGUAUAUGGUACUCAGGAAUCAUCUAAUAGGUUCUGUGUCCUAGGCCAGGGUCAACAAAGGAAAGUUUCCUUGGUGAAAAAAAUCUGAAGUUAGACAAAACUUUUCAUCCUUAUGGACAGACAAUAUGUCUUCGUUCCUGAAUAUCUAAAGAGCUCUGAUCCAUGCAUGUUUUCCAUACUUGAAUCAAGUCUGAAGAGACAACCUCUACCUGGGAUAUGCUGCUUUUAUGACAGAUGGAAAAGAAUGAUGUGAAAACCAUACAAUAAUUCUUAAAGCCUUUUGUUAGAAGUGGCAUAUGUCCUUCUACCCACAUUUCAUCAGCCAAAGCGGAUCAUACAGUCAAGCCUGAUAUCCAUGGGGCAGGAGAACAUAACCUUCCCACAUGGAGACUCAGCAUAUAGUUGAGAACAAUUAAUAUAAUUUGGCAAAAAUGUCAUAAGAAUCUCAGAGUUUACAUGUCCAAAAUUUAAAUAUUUAUUUCUCU
Molecule: long non-coding RNA, 600 nt
Organism: Felis catus (domestic cat)
Lineage: Eukaryota; Metazoa; Chordata; Mammalia; Carnivora; Felidae
Exons: 3
Source: RefSeq, a predicted model, not a curated record